CCAACACGUGAAAUAUAAAAUUAGCACUUAUAGUAGGAACAAGUACCAACAAAAAUACACAAAAUGAUCCGUAGAGUAAAAUAUUUCUUGUCAAAUUUCACAACAUAGAUGAAUGUUAUUCGUCAAGAUUGAAGAUAAUGGAAAAUAUGACAGCCUGACAUCAAAAAGCAAAUGGAUUAUUAGGAUUAUGAGUAAAAUGCUUGCAUUCCUACAGAAUGUAGAAGGAAACGAUUCCAGAUCUGAGAAUACUGCUAAAAUAUGUGGUACAUCUUUAAAAGCCAAUGCAGAUCCUGUACAGAAUCCUUGUCCAUUGGAUGUCAAACCCAAAGACUUUAUAUGCUCAGUUUGCGGUGAUUGCUUUGCAGGAGAAAAACAAUUUUAUGGACAUUUGCAAGCACAUACAGGAGAAAUACAUUGGAAAUGCACUCAAUGUCCAGAGUCCAAUGCUGGUUUCGAUUCUCUUUCGAGGCUUAAGAUUCAUGAGAAUGCUUGUCAUAAUAUAGUUAGACCUUUCAAAUGCAAGCAUUGCGAUUUACUUUUUGACCGAGGUUCCCAGCGAGAUUAUCAUAUGAGAAGUGUACAUUUUGGUGAAAAAUCACAAAUAUGUCAGAUAUGUGGUAAAGGAUUUUUUCGCAGAAAUGAUUUACGUACUCAUCUGAACAUUCAUUUAGGUACAAAUCUUUGCAUUUGUGAAAUUUGUGGAAGGAAAUUCAAUCAUGUAUCAAAUCUCAUAAGACACUGUAGAAUUCAUGCAGGAGUGAAACCAUAUCCUUGCUGUAUAUGUGGCAAAAGAUUCACACAAAUUGGUUCUUUGGCAAGGCACAAAAGAAUUCACAGUCGAGAACAAGAUAGUAUUAAAGCUUGCUCAAUCAAAAACCAAGAUAACGCGCCUUUCGAUCUUAAUAAUGAAGUUUCCAACAAACAUGAUCUGCAAGGUGUGGAGCCAAGUCAGCAUAAGCCUAGUAAACGCCAGCACUAUUGCAAAAUUUGUGGGGAAAGUUUUCAAUUCAUAUUGCUGUUACGACAACAUGAAAAACAUCACUUGCACAGUGCUGAAGAUUUGGAAUGUAAAAGUUGUGGAAAGACAUUCCAGAAAGUAGAAGAAGUCAAGGAACAUUGCUGUCGACCGCUUUCUUCUUGUGAUGUUAAAGUCACAGAAAAAAUUGUUAAGAAGUUUUCGAAAUUCAUUAGAAAGACAGAACAUUUCAAUGAUCCAGCUGAUGACUCUCACGGCGCUGAAACUAUUUUAAUACAAUUACAGGAUGAAAGAAUAGAAAAUACUGCAACUUCUAACAUAUCAAUGAAUGAAAUCAAAGAACAACCAAUCCAAGGACAACCUAUGAUAUACUCAGCAACAAAUCAGGUCACCAAUUUUAAUUCGGAAGAAGCUGAAGAAAUACCAAAUGAAAUAUUACAAGAACAUUUGAUGGAACUUGCUGGCAAAAUAAAUACAAUAAGCAUGGCACCAGACCGGGAUGCUAGCAUCAAUAUUUCUGAUAUACUUGAAACGUACAAUUGCGAGGAUGCAGAGUUUGGAACUGAUAAUGAUAUGAAAUCGAAACCAUAUGAAAUCCAAAAUAUUGGAGUACAAAGUGAUAACAAUUUUUCAAGAGAAAAUAAUAUUAUUUAUAUACAAACAUUAGGCAAGGAUGGGUUUGCAAUUUUAACUGAUCAUGAAGGUAUAAUGAGAAAUGUAUCCUUAGACAUAGUGCAAGAAGCAAAUAAUACGAAUUAUCAACCUAAUAUAGAAAAUUAUCAUUCUGAUACGUCAGAAGUGCAAAUUUCAAAAAGUACUGAAGUGCCAUCGGUAACGACGCAAUUAUCAUAUGUACUAAAAUCAUUUGAUGAAAAAUUGAUCAAUCAGAAUUCUAAUUCAAAUGGAUAUUGUGCAAUUGAUUCAAUUCCAAAACUGAUGAUGUCACAAGAAAAAUUGGAUUGUAAUCCUUUAAAUACGGAAACCACAACGAAGAUAGAUCAUUACCAUAAUUUAAAAGAAAAAAAUCAGUUCAAUAUGGAAAAUUGUUAUUCAAAUACCUUAAAAAACUGCCAGUUGAGAAUACUCGAAUUGCAAGAUAACUCUGAUAUGACACUUGCGCAUGGGAAUCAUGAAUGUGCAAACGCUGAGCCGCAUUAUUUGUCAUCUUGUGAUGAUGACGCAGUAUCACAACCAUUUAUCCCAAAUACUGGCGCAAUGGAAUCGACAAAAAUUGAUGAACAAGUGCAAAACCUUGUCAAUUUUGAAAAUAUUGUUUUAAAUCGGACUGACCCAACGUUGCGUUUAGUCCAAACUGAAACUGGAGAACAGUUUUAUGAGUUAAUACUAAAUGAUUUGACAGAUAAAAUACCAAACUCUCCAAACAUUCAAAGUUUACCAGAACCUGAUAAAACCGAUGAUAUGUCAACCUCCUGUGACAUAUCCAAUAAUAUAGAAACAAUGAGCAACGAUACCUCCAAACAACCUAGUUUACGUUUGGUACAAAUGGAAAAUGGACAGCAGUUUUUUGAAAUUGUGAGGAACGAUUCCUUGGAAUUGGAAAAUUUUACAUCACCAUUGCACGAGCCAGAAACUUUACAAGCAAAUAAUCCUGAAAAUCCCAAUGAAAUUAAUAUCAACUUACAGCCGGAUAAUUUUAUUGAAACAAAUAAUUUAAAACAUAAUGAAAAUAAUCAAUAUCUCUUCGUAAAUGAAAGUCAGAAAGUAAAUUCAAUUAAUACCUUAACAAAUGAUACAGUUACUGUUCAACAUUCGAAUUUGGAAUUCGUGAAGAGUGAUGCGCAGUCUGAUUUUCAAAGUAAUGAUCAAAUAAACUUUACUGAUUUUACAAAAACUCAUUUUGACAAUAGCGCAGAACACUUUCUCGAGCUUGUACGAAACGUUGACAAUGGUCAAACAACAGUUCCAGAACAAACAGAUCGACCUAUGCCGAUAGUACGACUCAUACAAAAUGAAGAUGGCGAACAAUUUUUUGAGUUAAUUCACGAUUCCUUACAAUUCGACAAAAAUCGUCACUUAGAACUACAAAAUGAGAGAAUGGAUAGAAAUUCUUCUGCAAAUGUUCAAGGCACAAACACAUUAAAUAAUCCAGACUGUAAUAAAUCAAAUUUUUUAAUUUGCUUCAGAAAUAAUUUAGAAUUCCGACCAGUAAUGAACAUUGAUCCAAAUACGACAAAGGAACUUACUGGCGACGGUAAUGAUAAAUCAAACACUAUCAAUUUCUAUAUAGAUUUUAAUCCAAACAAUACUGCAGUUACAGGAAAUAUCAUAAAAGAACAAAAACAAAAAUCCAAAUCCUCCGUAAAGAAGUUUCAGUGUUCUGAAUGCAAUAAGAGCUUCUCUAGUAGCUACAACUUUAAACAACACAUUGGCACACACUUUACAGAUCAACAAAAGUUUCAGUGCAAAGAAUGUGGAACCCAAUUUGCAUGGAAAUCAACAUUGAACAAGCAUAUGGCAUUAUAUCAUAGACCGGAUGGGCCACAGAAAUUUGUUUGUGAAAUUUGCCCGAAAGUAUAUAACACUCUUUCUCAAGUGAAUAUUUAAUUGCAGACGGACAUGUAUUUAAUGAAUAAUAUCCUUACGAUUAGAAAUAUUUACUAUGUACAGUCAAAUCUGUCAAGAACCUUCCUAUAAUUCAACUCGCUCAAGAAAAGUCGCUCUGGCUCAGGUUCUGUGUUUGACGAGAAAUAGAAUUUCAUAUGACAGAUACAACAUACUUGUGGAUCCUGGUAGCGGUACUACAUAAUACGUAAGAUUAAUCGAUGUUUUAUAAUUAUAGUCUUUUCAGAUGAAGGAACAAAUUUGACAUACAUGAAUAAAUAUGCAUUACUAUAAGAAUUACAAUUUUCCACGAGAAUUGUCUAGGAAUUUUACAAAUUUUUACAGAAAAAAACAAUAUCGAGUCAGGAUACAUUAGCAGUGAAAAGGUCGGCAGUCGCUUUUUGUAAAAUAUAAACUGGAAUCUUAUAAAUAAGUGAAGGAAUAAUGAUGAUAAUAAUAAUAAUAAAGUUAAUAAGGAUGAUUAAUAAUUAUUAAUUAGAAUACUAGCAGAACAACGAAUGUUCUUCCUUUCGGCUAUGAAUGUUAUAAGUGUUAACUAUCUAGUACACAAUGUAUAUAUCGUAAAACUUUAGGUGUUUACUGGCUUUGGCCAUUAUUGGCAGUGAUGUUUUAAUGUGUUAUAUACAAAAUUGAAAAUUAUACGAGAUAUUUUUUAAAUAAUAUUUUUCAAAGUAGACUCUUGCAGUAGACGCUUUGACAAUUGGAACAAAUGUACAAAGCAGCCUGUAUCUUGUAAAAGCACAGCCUGCGAAUUUUUAUAAAC
Cephus cinctus (wheat stem sawfly) is the source of this 4322-nucleotide RNA transcript. RefSeq lists it as uncharacterized. The transcript has 8 exons. The record is from RefSeq and is a predicted model, not a curated record. NCBI's taxonomy places the organism in Eukaryota, Metazoa, Arthropoda, Insecta, Hymenoptera, Cephidae.